CUUCAGGCUCACUGAAGACGACCCCCAAGGCCAGUAGGUUCGUGUACGCCCGUCUGACCCCAGCCAUGUAGUGCCGGUGUUCCCUCUGAAGUGCGACUCUGUUCAGGGGAACCUCCUGUGCAGGAUGAGCAGGUUUGGUACAUACGUAAACGUGUGUCAUGAGGGUUUGCGGCACAGGUUACUUCAUCAUCCACAUAGUAAGCCUAAUAUCAGUUAUUUUCCUGAUCCUCCCCCUCCUCCCACCAUCCACCGUCCAGUUGGCCCCAAGCUCACAAAUUCUA
Non-coding RNA from Saimiri boliviensis boliviensis (Bolivian squirrel monkey), 281 nucleotides. The record is from RefSeq and is a predicted model, not a curated record. Lineage: Eukaryota; Metazoa; Chordata; Mammalia; Primates; Cebidae.